UCUUUCUUCGUCGUAAACGCGGUCUGAUUUCGAAAAGAGAAAACAUAGUGACCAUUGAAUCCAGUUAGCAAAAUGCUCAUGAGAGUUAUACUAGUAAGGUAUCUUUGAGUUGUGCAAUAACAAAAGCACCCAUCAAUAGCAACCCCGGUCGUUCGACGUAGGACCAACUUCGCGAUCGGGUCACGAAUAUCAAAGCCUGGCUGACAAUACUCACUUGCAGGAGCGGAGGCGGAGAAAAGGAUCGAGAAGAAACUUACUGGGAAGAAUUCUGUCUCUCUCAUUACCCAGAAGAAUAUGAUAGUCAUCAAUGCUAAGUAACCACCAAGCAUAAUGCCUGUUGCAAAUAUCUCUUUCAAUUUCCAACUAUCAGAAGUAUUAGAUUCACAUUGAAGAAGAGAAUACUGACCAUCAUUUAGAAUGGCAAUGAUCAAAACCAUGAAUGGGGAGAAGUCAAAUUUCCAUAUGAGGGCAAUAAACAAGAAACCAAACUGUUCAUUGGCAAAGCAAAAUUUCAUCAACUCUACUUGUAAGGACGGCACUGAUGAUAACGCUCAAGCCUGGCUCUGUGAGAACAAUAUCAGAAGCACUUCUCGCAGCAUCAGUAGCAUCAGCAACUGCAAUUCCAAUGUCAGCCUUCUUCAGUGCAGGAGCAUCGUUC
This is a non-coding RNA of Benincasa hispida (wax gourd), 658 nucleotides long. Lineage: Eukaryota; Viridiplantae; Streptophyta; Magnoliopsida; Cucurbitales; Cucurbitaceae. The record is from RefSeq and is a predicted model, not a curated record.